This 62-nucleotide microRNA precursor is filed under the name Callithrix jacchus (white-tufted-ear marmoset). RNAcentral's name for it is "Cja-Mir-30-P1a_pre stem-loop". It matches the Rfam family "mir-30 microRNA precursor family", at positions 9 to 69 of the family's 77-position model. From Rfam's summary of the family: This family consists of the mammalian microRNA (miRNA) precursor mir-30a. Animal miRNAs are transcribed as ~70nt precursors and subsequently processed by the Dicer enzyme to give a ~22nt product. Lineage: Eukaryota; Metazoa; Chordata; Mammalia; Primates; Cebidae. The record is from RNAcentral.
UGUAAACAUCCCCGACUGGAAGCUGUAAGAUUCAACUAAGCUUUCAGUCAGAUGUUUGCUGC